GACGAACGCUGGCGGCGUGCUUAACACAUGCAAGUCGAACGGAAAGGCCCUGCUUUUGUGGGGUGCUCGAGUGGCGAACGGGUGAGUAACACGUGAGUAACCUGACCUUGACUUGGGGAUAACUUCAGGGAACUGGGGCUAAUACCGGAUAGGAGCUCCUGCUGCAUGGUGGGGGUUGGAAAGUUUCGGCGGUUGGGGAUGGACUCCCGGCUUAUCAGCUUGUUGGUGGGGUAGUGGCUUACCAAGGCUUGGACGGGUAGCCGGCCCGAGAGGGUGACCGGACACAUGGGGAUUGAGAUAAGGCACAGACUCCUACGGGCUGAAGCAGUGGGGAAGAUGGCAGAAGGGGCGGAAGGCUGAUGCAGCAACGCCGCGUGCGGGAUGACGGCCUUCGGGUGGGAAACCGCGUUCGCCUGUGACGAAGCGUGAGUGACGGUAAUGGGUAAAGAAGCACGGGCUAGCUACGUG
This 468-nucleotide ribosomal RNA is filed under the name uncultured bacterium. Its description in RNAcentral is "partial 16S ribosomal RNA". It matches the Rfam family "Bacterial small subunit ribosomal RNA", at positions 28 to 507 of the family's 1533-position model. The record is from RNAcentral.